CCCUUAGAUGUCCGGGGCCGCACGCGCGCUACACUGAAGGAAUCAGCGUGGCUCUGUCCCUGGUCCGAAAGGAUUGGGAAACCCGUUGAAUCUCCUUCGUGAUAGGGAUUGGGGCUUGGAACUGUUCCCCAUGAACGAGGAAUACCCAGUAAGCGCAAGUCAUAAGCUUGCGUUGAUUACGUCCCUGCCCUUUGUACACACCGCCCGUCGCUACUACCGAUUGGAUGACUUAGUGAGGCUUUUGGAUUGGAAUCAGUAGAUAGACCUCGUCAAUCUGUUGAGGCCGAAAAAAUCGUCAAACUUGGCCAUCUAGAGGAAGUAAAAGUCGUAACA
This 333-nucleotide ribosomal RNA is filed under the name uncultured eukaryote. RNAcentral describes it as "partial 18S ribosomal RNA". It matches the Rfam family "Eukaryotic small subunit ribosomal RNA", at positions 1470 to 1796 of the family's 1831-position model. The record is from RNAcentral.